This 427-nucleotide ribosomal RNA is filed under the name uncultured bacterium. RNAcentral's name for it is "bacterial SSU rRNA". It matches the Rfam family "Bacterial small subunit ribosomal RNA", at positions 355 to 774 of the family's 1533-position model. The record is from RNAcentral.
UGGGGAAUAUUGGACAAUGGGCGCAAGCCUGAUCCAGCCAUGCCGCGUGGGUGAAGAAGGCCUUCGGGUUGUAAAGCCCUUUUGUUGGGGAAGAAAUCCUGUCGGCUAAUACCCGGCGGGGAUGACGGUACCCAAAGAAUAAGCACCGGCUAACUUCGUGCCAGCAGCCGCGGUAAUACGAAGGGUGCAAGCGUUACUCGGAAUUACUGGGCGUAAAGCGUGCGUAGGCGGUUCGUUAAGUCUGUCGUGAAAGCCCUGGGCUCAACCUGGGAAUUGCGAUGGAUACUGGCGAGCUAGAGUACGGUAGAGGAAGGUGGAAUUCCCGGUGUAGCGGUGAAAUGCGUAGAGAUCGGGAGGAACACCCGUGGCGAAGGCGGCCAUCUGGACCAGUACUGACGCUGAGGCACGAAAGCGUGGGGAGCAAACA